RNAcentral lists this long non-coding RNA (701 nucleotides) under Vulpes vulpes (red fox). Its description in RNAcentral is "lncRNA (ENSVVUG00000012667.1)". The record is from RNAcentral. Lineage: Eukaryota; Metazoa; Chordata; Mammalia; Carnivora; Canidae.
GGAGCCGCGCGCACGUUGCUGCCGGGACCCGCCGCGGCGAUGAGCAGCUGCAUCUGUCGAGGCCGCUUAGUCCUUUUCCGUCGGUGGAGACGCUGGGACCCGGGCCUGGGACACGUGGGCGCCCAGGGCCUCGCCGCAGCGCAGCGCCCGAGACGCACAGGUGGUGCAAGGUUGGCCCUGUUUGUGACAUCUUGGUUCUGUGAAAUGACCAGAAGUUGGGCUGAAUCCUGGAAAUGUGGGAUGAAAAUGCCUCAGUGUUGGCAGAGAGUCUGGUUGCUGAGCUGCUGGAUAAGCAUCGGCCGGGUUCCCCCAGAGAGCCACCGGUCGCGGCCAUGGUUCCUCCAACAGGUCAGAACCCCCAGGUGUUCCAAGGGGGCUUGGGGCACCACUGUCAAGCUAACUCCAAAGGCAGAGGUCUGAACCCUUAGCGUGUUUACAUUUGUGGAGAGGAGCUGGGGGCCUGCGGGAAGUGGUCAGACAGGAGAAGCUGGCUGGCUCUUGACUUCAAGAAGGAAAGAGAAGGGGCGCCUGGGUGGCUCAGUGGUUGAGUGUCUGCCUUUGGCCCAGGGCGUAAUCCUGGGGUCCUGGGAUCAGUCCCACAUGGGGCUCCCUGCAUAGAGCCUGCUUCUCCUUCUGCCUGUGUCUCUGAUUCUCUGUGUCUCUUAUGAAUAAAUAAAUCUUUAAAAAAUAUGUAAUUGCCA